UCCUCACUCUCAGCCACGGCUCGGUUGCGCGUCAGUCACUCGCGCUGUCCUCGCUGUCCACGUACGCCCCCAACAAGCCGAGGGAGGACGUGGUGCCCGUUGCUGUGGGAAACGAGCCUGGAAGCCAAGCAGAGAGCGCACACUGUCAGAGUUUCUCAGCUUGGAAAUUGCGAGUGGCCCCGUGCUCCAUGGUGUAGUCUGUGUUCUCAGGAUCUGUCUACAGAAGAAGUGAAAUCAUUGUACUGGAGGAAUCCUGUUCCAGGCAUUCUACUAUCUACAAACAUCUAAGUGCUACUCCCAGAGCCACACUGCUCGGCCUGCAGACCCUGCAGCCUGCCCAGAAACCAGGAGCCCAGAAAAUACAGAACCACCCAAAGAAACUUCACCUUGAAAGUGAUCUCUGCCAAGCAACGUGUGCACUUGAUGUAGAAGCGGAAGAUGGGAAGUCCCAAGUACACCUCAUUCUGAACAGUCUCCUUACGAGCAUUAAACUUUU
Molecule: long non-coding RNA, 496 nt
Organism: Rhea pennata
Lineage: Eukaryota; Metazoa; Chordata; Aves; Rheiformes; Rheidae
Exons: 3
Source: RefSeq, a predicted model, not a curated record